CGCAAGCCUGACGGAGCCAGACCGCGUGGGGGAGGAAGGCCCUUGGGUUGUAAACCCCUUUUCUCAGGGAAGAAGUUCUGACGGUACCUGAGGAAUCAGCCUCGGCUAACUCCGUGCCAGCAGCCGCGGUAAUACGGAGGAGGCAAGCGUUAUCCGGAAUCAUUGGGCGUAAAGCGUUCGUAGGCGGCUGUUCAAGUCUGCUGUCAAAGGUCGGAGCUUAACUCCGGUUCGGCAGUGGAAACUGGUGCGCUAGAGGGCGACAGGGGUAGAGGGAAUUCCCAGUGUAGCGGUGAAAUGCGUAGAGAUUGGGAAGAACACCGGUGGCGAAAGCGCUCUACUGGGUCGCACCUGACCCUCAGGGACGAAAGCUAAGGUAGCG
This 379-nucleotide ribosomal RNA is filed under the name uncultured cyanobacterium. RNAcentral's name for it is "bacterial SSU rRNA". It matches the Rfam family "Bacterial small subunit ribosomal RNA", at positions 376 to 770 of the family's 1533-position model. Lineage: Bacteria; Bacillati; Cyanobacteriota. The record is from RNAcentral.